CGUACGAGCGCACCCUUGUCCUUAGUUGCCAACACAUAAUGGUGGGAACUCUAGGGAGACUGCCGGUGACAAACCGGAGGAAGGUGGGGACGACGUCAGGUCAUCAUGGCCCUUACGGCCUGGGCUACACACGUGCUACAAUGGGCGGUACAGAGGGCAGCGAAGUCGCGAGGCCAAGCAAAUCCCUUAAAACCGUUCGUAGUCCGGAUUGGAGUCUGCAACUCGACUCCAUGAAGUCGGAAUCGCUAGUAAUCGUGGAUCAGAAUGCCACGGUGAAUACGUUCCCGGGCCUUGUACACACCGCCCGUCACACCAUGGGAGUGGAUUGCACCAGAAGUAGUUAGUCUAACCUUCGGGAGGACGAUUACCACGGUGUGGUUCAUGACUGGGGUGAAGUCGUAACAAGGUAGCCGUAGGGGAACCUGCGGCUGGAUCACCUCCUU
RNAcentral lists this ribosomal RNA (443 nucleotides) under uncultured Gammaproteobacteria bacterium. RNAcentral describes it as "bacterial SSU rRNA". It matches the Rfam family "Bacterial small subunit ribosomal RNA", at positions 1089 to 1532 of the family's 1533-position model. The record is from RNAcentral. Lineage: Bacteria; Pseudomonadati; Pseudomonadota; Gammaproteobacteria.